CGCGGGAUAGUGGAAUGGUUCCACAACAGCCUCAUAAGCUGUAGAAGCCGGUUCAAAUCCGGCUCCCGCAA
RNAcentral lists this transfer RNA (71 nucleotides) under Endomicrobium sp. RNAcentral describes it as "tRNA-Met". It matches the Rfam family "tRNA". Rfam says of the family: Transfer RNA (tRNA) molecules are approximately 80 nucleotides in length. Their secondary structure includes four short double-helical elements and three loops (D, anti-codon, and T loops). The record is from RNAcentral. Lineage: Bacteria; Pseudomonadati; Elusimicrobiota; Endomicrobiia; Endomicrobiales; Endomicrobiaceae.